UAGCUUUGAAAUAUCUUGCCUUUCAACCAGAGCCAUAGAGCUAAAAAGAGUCGCGACACUCCCAUUGGACUCCGUUGUACGCUGUUUGCCGCCCACUUCCGGGGUAUGCAGCCUCGCAUAGUUCCAAAAAGCCAUUCUAUGGCGUCGGACAUCAUUCACUUCCAUUGCUGACUCUCGAGUAACUUCUGAGCUCCAGCCAGCAUAAACACCAGUGCAUGUGUCGCUUGUCCUUGGUGGUCAGGCAGCGUGAUGUUGCCAAAUGGCCUCCCCGUUCCCAGAUGGACCUCCACGCCUGGAGUAAUGGACAUUUCAUCUAAGCGUGCGGAUGUUAGGCAGUGGAAUUUGCAUUUUCUGGAGGGUUUUAUAACCGGUGGUGCCAGUGGUAAAUCUUAUUUUUAUAGCUUUUUUGUCUCCUUUCCCCACCGUAUUCCUCUCUUCUUUUCCUGUCCAAGGGCUGUCAUUUGGUCUCUGUUAAACAUUUGGGUGAACUUCUGAUUAACUAAAUUGUUCCUCUUUCUUAGCGCCAAAUUCAUUCUUUUUUGCUGUGCUAGAGCCCUCUCUGCUCUCCUUCUCAUUAACUUCUCCAUUUUAAGUUGCCUUAUUAGGUCCUCCACAAUUGCACUAUUAGACCCUGGCAGUCUGGUCCCUGGAGCACCUGGCCCUGGCAAAGUUGGUUCAUCGUUGCGGGCUCCUGACUGACUGGCCCUCGGCACACACAUCCCUGGAUCACCUGCCCCUGUGUCCAGGACUCAGAUGAAGAGGAUGUUAGUAUGCGUUGUUGAGAGGAACUGCCCUACAGUGACUGGCCAUAGUGCUUACUGGAACUCUACAGAUCUUGCUGGACCAGCAGUAUCGUUUUUGUGGCCAUCACAGGUUUCAGUGGAGCACCCC
Fundulus heteroclitus (mummichog) is the source of this 891-nucleotide long non-coding RNA. RefSeq lists it as uncharacterized. The record is from RefSeq and is a predicted model, not a curated record. The transcript is spliced from 5 exons. NCBI's taxonomy places the organism in Eukaryota, Metazoa, Chordata, Actinopteri, Cyprinodontiformes, Fundulidae.